Molecule: ribosomal RNA, 243 nt
Filed under: uncultured bacterium
Lineage: Bacteria
Description: partial 16S ribosomal RNA
Rfam family: Bacterial small subunit ribosomal RNA
Source: RNAcentral
GGGGAGCUAGCGUUAUUCGGAAUUACUGGGCGUAAAGCGCGCGUAGGCGGUUUUUCAAGUCAGGGGUGAAAGCCCGGAGCUCAACUCCGGAAUAGCCUUUGAAACUGGAGGACUUGAAUCUUGGAGAGGUCAGUGGAAUUCCGAGUGUAGAGGUGAAAUUCGUAGAUAUUCGGAAGAACACCAGUGGCGAAGGCGACUGACUGGACAAGUAUUGACGCUGAGGUGCGAAAGCGUGGGGAGCAA